Molecule: ribosomal RNA, 739 nt
Filed under: uncultured microorganism
Description: bacterial SSU rRNA
Rfam family: Bacterial small subunit ribosomal RNA
Source: RNAcentral
GUCGAACGGCAGCAUGAUCUAGCUUGCUAGAUUGAUGGCGAGUGGCGAACGGGUGAGUAAUACAUCGGAACGUGCCCUGUAGUGGGGGAUAACUAGUCGAAAGAUUAGCUAAUACCGCAUACGACCUGAGGGUGAAAGUGGGGGACCGCAAGGCCUCAUGCUAUAGGAGCGGCCGAUGUCUGAUUAGCUAGUUGGUGGGGUAAAGGCCCACCAAGGCGACGAUCAGUAGCUGGUCUGAGAGGACGAUCAGCCACACUGGGACUGAGACACGGCCCAGACUCCUACGGGAGGCAGCAGUGGGGAAUUUUGGACAAUGGGCGAAAGCCUGAUCCAGCAAUGCCGCGUGUGUGAAGAAGGCCUUCGGGUUGUAAAGCACUUUUGUCCGGAAAGAAAUGGCUCUGGUUAAUACCUGGGGUCGAUGACGGUACCGGAAGAAUAAGGACCGGCUAACUACGUGCCAGCAGCCGCGGUAAUACGUAGGGUCCAAGCGUUAAUCGGAAUUACUGGGCGUAAAGCGUGCGCAAGCGGUUGUGCAAGACCGAUGUGAAAUCCCCGAGCUUAACUUGGGAAUUGCAUUGGUGACUGCACGGCUAGAGUGUGUCAGAGGGGGGUAGAAUUCCACGUGUAGCAGUGAAAUGCGUAGAGAUGUGGAGGAAUACCGAUGGCGAAGGCAGCCCCCUGGGAUAACACUGACGCUCAUGCACGAAAGCGUGGGGAGCAAACAGGAUUAGAUACCCUG